GGAAGUAAAAGUCGUAACAAGGUCUCCGUUGGUGAACCAGCGGAGGGAUCAUUACCGAGUUUACAAACUCCCAACCCUAUGUGAACCUUACCUAUCGUUGCUUCGGCGGGCUUAGCCCCCGCGCCCUCACCGGCGCCGGGAGACAGGCGCCCGCCGGGGACCCCAAACUCAAUGUUUUUCAUGCAGUAUUUCUGAGUGGCAAACGCAAAAAAUAAAUCAAAACUUUUAACAACGGAUCUCUUGGCUCUGGCAUCGAUGAAGAACGCAGCGAAAUGCGAUAAGUAAUGUGAAUUGCAGAAUUCAGUGAAUCAUCGAAUCUUUGAACGCACAUUGCGCCCGCGAGUAUUCUCGCGGGCAUGCCUGUCCGAGCGUCAUUUCAACCCUCAGGGCCCGCCUGCUUCGGCAGGCGCGGCGCUGGCGUUGGGGAUCGGCCCUAACCGGUCGUCCCCCAAAUACAGUGGCGGUCUCGCUGCAGCCUCCCCUGCGUAGUAGCAACACUCGCAUGCGGAGCGCGGCGCGGCCACGCCGUAAAACCCCCGACUUUCUGAACGUUGACCUCGGAUCAGGUAGGAAUACCCGCUGAACUUAAGCAUAUCAAUAAGCGGAGGA
Molecule: ribosomal RNA, 609 nt
Filed under: Myrothecium gramineum
Lineage: Eukaryota; Fungi; Ascomycota; Sordariomycetes; Hypocreales; Stachybotryaceae
Description: eukaryotic LSU rRNA
Rfam family: 5.8S ribosomal RNA (bases 221-374)
Source: RNAcentral